GCUGAGCUUCUCGUUCUUAAAUUCCAGCAAGGUAGGAGGAUCGUAUCCGCUAGGAAAAUGGCAAGCGUUUGCAAGCUAAGUGUGUCAUGCCAGCCGAAUGCUCGAGCGAAUUUUCGAUCUAGAGUGCACAGGGCGAGUGUUUUGCGUCCACUUUGCUGUAACACUGGCACUCCGAGCUCCCUGGAGAAUUCUCCUUCUCCUCGAAAGAAUCGGGAGACAAAGCUACUGAGCUCGUUAGAUUCGUACUUCAGCAAGCUCCAAAACAAGAGUAGCGCUGCGAAAGACGUUGCGGUGGAGAAUUCGGCAAGCUCCGGGGCUGUGAUCGAGGACUCGAAGAAUACGUCCGGGGAUUUACAAGGACUCGACGCUCUCAAUGCCUACUUCGACAAAAUGCAAGUUCCAGCCACCAAAGACGUUCCGAAAGAAGUGCCCAAAGCUCCAGUAGAAGAAGAUGAGAAAGUUCUUAGUUUUCUACACGAGCUAGACAAAAGCUUUCAAAAGGACGACGCUAAAACUCUUCCUACGGACUUUGCUCCAAGAAAUGCUUCUACUUUCACGAAUGUGAUCAUAGGUGUAAAUGCCGCUGUCUUUCUCUUUGGUCUCGCGAGCCCCGUUCAAACUCCCGAGAUGGUCGAAGUUCCUCUCCCGUUUCUAGUCGGAGCUAAGAUCAACUCUCUCAUUGCGGAUGGACAGUGGUGGAGACUAGUCACUCCAAUGUUCUUGCACGAUGGUCUCAUCCAUAUCGGCCUCGGUGCCUGGGCUCUACUCUCCUUCGGUCCGGGAGUGGAGUCCGUCUAUGGUCCGGCCGGGUUUUGUAUGAUCUAUCUACUUGGAGGAAUUUUCGGGAACAUCACGAGUUAUUUCCUCACUCCAGCUCCAACAGUCGGUGGCACUGGUCCUCUUUACGCUCUAGUCGCUGCAUGGGCCGUCUACAUUAUCCAGAACCGCCAGAGUUUCGGCAAAGAGAUGCAAGCAGGGAUCACGAGUGACGUGAUACAAAAGAUCCUCGUUAUGAGCGCUCUACACUUGGCUUUGACGGAUGCGUUGCCUGCUGAUAACUGGACUCAUGUUGGUGCGGCAGCAGUAGGCACUUUGUUUGGUCUUUUGGCUACUCCAAAAGCCGGUCAAAUGAAUACCCGGCUAGAAGAUCUUGAUGACAACAUGGUAAUGUCUGGCGAAGCUCCGGAGUUCCAGCGCUUGACGCAGGCCUUCGCGCUUUGCAUGGGAGUGUUUUUUGUUCUUUAUAGUUUUGGAAGUCCUGCAGCAAGCGAGAUGCUACGAGUUCUCUCGCAGGAGAACGACACGGAUUUCCUGUAGUCGUAGCGCUUGGGCUUCUCAAACGGUGACGCUCGAAACGAGAUAAGGUGGACAAGAAUGCAUUGGACAACUCGUCUCCCUCGAAGGAUGUUCGAAUAUCCAAACGAGGACAUUUAAGAGAGACUAUUUGCCGUGUCAACGAGAGGGAAAGGAGGAGGCAAUGGAUAUGGGACAGGAUUAUGUCAAGCUGGUGACACUCAUCGUCGCGUUCCUCGCAGCAGGAGCUUAUGCUCAACUUCAACUCCCAUCCUACGCCUUGAAAGAUUAUCCUCUCGGGAAAGCCUUUGCGAAUCCAAACCAGCAGUGGCAUUUUGCGGCUCUGUGUUUGAAAAACCAGAGCUCGUCUUGUACCAGACUUGACUACCAUGGUUCUCUCAACGUUACCAGCGUCCCAGACUAUUGCGGGCCUUGCGCCAACCAAACCUUGGUAGUGCUCAAGUGUAUCGACCGAGUUAAGUCCCACUUCCUCUUCACGAACAAGGCAAGCACAGAUGACGUGAGAAGAUCGCUCCACACUGGCUGCUCCACCGGAAACUUCACGAUCGUUCCCAGUGCGAAGAAUGUGGGGACCAAACUCACAGCGUCGUUUUGGGUGAUCCUCUUUGGAACUUGGCUCGCUGCUAGAGUAUAAAGCGACAGGCGCCAACACUUUUCUACACAUCGCUAUAGUACAUAUAGCUUUAAAGAAAAAAAGAAGGAAGCCCACAAAGAGACUUGUCAAAUAAAACUCUCCCCCCAAAAGUCUUUGAAGUCAAUCGCCAAUUUUUGACAAUGUUCAUCCGUA
This is an RNA transcript of Selaginella moellendorffii, 2101 nucleotides long. It is a transcript of the gene named RHOMBOID-like protein 9, chloroplastic, with no coding region annotated. Lineage: Eukaryota; Viridiplantae; Streptophyta; Lycopodiopsida; Selaginellales; Selaginellaceae. The transcript has 10 exons. The record is from RefSeq and is a predicted model, not a curated record.